CUAGAGUCUGUCCUUCUGCAGUUCUGGUUUCUCUGAGUACGUGCAUGAGGAAACGAGAGAUUUCCCAAUCAAGGUGGAAAUUUACAUAAUUUGUAGAACUCCCAAGACACAGCUGUAGAUUCUUUUAAAACGUGUGGUCCGGAGGAUAAAAGCCCUUUUCCUCUCUACACAAAGAGAUCAGAGUGACCCAGAAGCUUCCUGGGGUGGGGGCUGAGAGUGUGUUUGCGGAGGGCAUCCGUGUUCCAGGCACUCGGUCUUCAGAUCCGUUCCAUCUCAAACCACCCGCAGCAGAGGCCCCACUUUGUCUCUCGCUGGUAAGCAAACUGGAAUUCCCAGAGUGUAAAUGACCCCCAAGGACGCCCCAGAUUCCAGCUUAAGGUCGCUCACUGCGUGGAGAGUCGGGCAUAGUCCCAUCACUCCCUUUCUGGGUUUCCCCAACGAAAAGAACCCAUCUCUUCCCCCUCCGCCCAAGAUCACGGUGUUCCUAAAACCUCCUGGAUCCGAAGUCCUCGGCCAGCUAGGCUCUUCAUUAAACACAGAUUGAACGCCCCCAGAUUCGCGUUCAAGACCCCGUUGAGGAGCAAAUGUGAAAGGCAAUAAUCAGGGAUGGAGAAAUUGCCAAUGGAUCUAUUAAAGUUGAUCGAAAUCGAUGUGCCAGUUAGCAGCCAAGCAUCAGCCCGGGCCCACGCCAGGCACCCGGCUGGGCGCUCAGACCAGACAUAGUUACUGUGAGAAUUCUACGGGGCAAUCACUGUGAGCUGUUCAGGGCAGAGUCCGCAGACCAAGCUCUUAAUAAACGCUGACGAGAAAACUGAGGUUUGGGGACUCAUCGCACCAUUAUUCCCCGGCAAAGUGAAGAUGUGCAGCUGGGUCUGUUUGAUAUCGGAGCAGAUAAGAACCAAUCAGGUCGAACAGGUCAUUGAUAACAUCAAUUACCUAAAUAGACCCAAACUUUCAGGAUUAAGUGCAAUUGCUGACUUGUUUGCAUUUUUUUUCCACCACCCUAAUGAAUUCGUGGGGAUAGAAAGUCCACUGAGAAGAACGCAUGGAAGGUUCCAAUGACCCAUUAGAAGCAUCCCCAGUUAAACUAUUGCUUUGUGAAAAUCAUCGACAAGUGACAUUGACAAAAUUCGAAGUGUCCACGUAUUUGUACGGACUGGUACAGCGUGUCUAUAAUGUUUUUCCACAGUCUGUUAUCUGUUUAUUUUUGACAAUUUCUGCCCCAGUAUCUUCAGCAGAACAGUC
This is a long non-coding RNA of Ailuropoda melanoleuca (giant panda), 1245 nucleotides long. RefSeq lists it as uncharacterized. NCBI's taxonomy places the organism in Eukaryota, Metazoa, Chordata, Mammalia, Carnivora, Ursidae. The record is from RefSeq and is a predicted model, not a curated record. The transcript is spliced from 4 exons.